UACGUAGGGUGCGAGCGUUAAUCGGAAUUACUGGGCGUAAAGUGUGCGCAGGCGGCGAUCUACGUCUGGGGUGAAAGCCCGGAGCUCAACUCCGGGACUGCCUUGGAUACGGGAUCGCUUGAGGAUUGGAGAGGCAAGGGGAAUUCCACGUGUAGCGGUGAAAUGCGUAGAGAUGUGGAGGAACACCUGUGGCGAAGGCGCCUUGCUGGCCAAUUACUGACGCUGAGGCGCGAAAGCGUGGGGAGCAAACAGG
RNAcentral lists this ribosomal RNA (253 nucleotides) under uncultured bacterium. RNAcentral's name for it is "partial 16S ribosomal RNA". It matches the Rfam family "Bacterial small subunit ribosomal RNA", at positions 524 to 776 of the family's 1533-position model. The record is from RNAcentral.